UACGUAGGGUGCAAGCGUUAAUCGGAAUUACUGGGCGUAAAGCGUGCGCAGGCGGUUAUGUAAGACAGGUGUGAAAUCCCCGGGCUUAACCUGGGAACUGCAUUUGUGACUGCAUAGCUAGAGUACGGUAGAGGGGGAUGGAAUUCCGCGUGUAGCAGUGAAAUGCGUAGAUAUGCGGAGGAACACCGAUGGCGAAGGCAAUCCCCUGGACCUGUACUGACGCUCAUGCACGAAAGCGUGGGGAG
This 245-nucleotide ribosomal RNA is filed under the name uncultured bacterium. RNAcentral describes it as "partial 16S ribosomal RNA". It matches the Rfam family "Bacterial small subunit ribosomal RNA", at positions 524 to 768 of the family's 1533-position model. The record is from RNAcentral.